Molecule: ribosomal RNA, 256 nt
Filed under: uncultured bacterium
Lineage: Bacteria
Description: partial small subunit ribosomal RNA
Rfam family: Bacterial small subunit ribosomal RNA
Source: RNAcentral
AGGACGAACGCUGGCGGCGUGCUUAACACAUGCAAGUCGAGCGGAAAGGCCCUUCGGGGUACUCGAGCGGCGAACGGGUGAGUAACACGUGAGCAACCUGCCCUUGGCUCUGGGAUAGCCUCCGGAAACGGGGAUUAAUACCGGACAUUCACUUUCUCCUGCAUGGGGGGUUGGUGGAAAGUUUUUCGGCCAGGGAGGGGCUCGCGGCCUAUCAGCUUGUUGGCGGGGUAACGGCCCACAAGGCGACGACGGGUAG